AUGGGUGGAAUAGGUAGAACAAAAAGAGGGAAGAACUAGCGGCUGUGGUAGGGAAGAUAAGAUGUGGAAAGGAAUUUCAAAGGAUAACGGAAGAAGUUAAAAAUGGCAUAGCUAUGAAUCUUAAAAUUUUUAUGAAAAUAUCAUAACACGGUACCUUAUCCACAUUCAACGGGAUUUCAUUAAGUUUUUAGAUUUGUUCCCAGAAGAAGUUAAAAAUGGCAUAGCUAUGAAUCUUAAUUUUUUUAUGAAAAUAUCAUAACACAGUACCUUAUCCACAUUCAACGGGAUUUCAUUAAGUUGUUAGAUUUGUUCCCAUUUUAAUCUGUUUGUUCUGGAUACCAACCAACUGGUUACCUGUACUACAAACACCAUCUCGAAAGUUAGAUUUGUUCCCAUUUUAAUCUGUUUGUUCUGGAUAUUGACCAACUGGUUACCUGCACUACUAACACCAUCUCAAAAGUUUUGAAUUUUGUAGGCUCGACCUAAACCUAAUUAAACUCAGUUUUGAAUUUUGGGCUCAAAUCAGUAUUUACCACUCUCUUCUGUUGCACAACAUGAUAUCCUCAUGAUGAUCUGUUGUUGGUAAGAGGAUCUUGCAGGUAUUAGAUCUGAUCAUGGAAAUCAAUUCUUGGUAUUCUUGCAAUCUGUUUUAGGCAAAAGAAAAAACAUAUCGAUCAGACAAUCUCAGCAAUCUUUGAUGUAGAAUCAACAGUAGUUGCAAUAUGCAACAACUUCGAUGCAUCAACUUCAACAUCAAUUGAACAUAAGAGGUCAAUUGUAGGCUUUGAUGAAGGGAUUAGUGGUUUUGCAACUGAGGAAAGAUCUUAAUCCUUAAUCGUAAAUUCAUUAAUUGUUGUAAAAUCAACAGCUGGUAGACAACAUUUGCAUCUUUUGGUGCCUCAAUAGUUUGUCCAUUAAACACGAUCAUAGUAGACUCAACAGUUCGUGGUUCUGUAUGGUUUGUUUUUAGAACUGUUAGCAAAUGUAGAAGUUAGAGGACCUUUUGGUCUGUUGUGGCAGGUGGUGUAGAUUCUAUCAUUAUUUUUUCUGCUUCAAUUUUCCACUCUUCAUGGUUUGAUUCUAUCAUUGUUUGAUUUUCCUCACAUCUUCAUUACUUAAGUUUUGCCAAAGCUCUGUCACUCAAAUUAAACCUAAAAAAAACAUAAAAAUAAUUAUAGAAAAUGUCAAAAAAAUUAUAAAUUUAAACUUUCACUAUUUCAUAAUUUAUUUCUUUGUAAAUAUAGUUGUUCAAGUUAGUUGGAUUUAAUCUUGAAUUUGGAAGCCCAUGUUUGCUUUUCGUCUCCCCAAGCUUCCCAUUUGGCCUGUA
This 1327-nucleotide long non-coding RNA is filed under the name Musa acuminata (dwarf banana). Its description in RNAcentral is "long non-coding RNA (MACU_LNC006455)". The record is from RNAcentral. Lineage: Eukaryota; Viridiplantae; Streptophyta; Magnoliopsida; Zingiberales; Musaceae.